AAUAAGAGUGUGUGUCUAGAGAGGCAUGGAGCAUCAAAGAUAUAGUUCGAGAAAUGGGUUUUAACCUAACCUCUAUAUAGAGGGAUAAGGAGAUAGGAAGCAGAUGAGAUCUAGAUAGAUAGAGAGUAACAAGAAACCCAAAAUGUUUCUUUAUCUGCAUUUGCACCUGCACCUACAUACACUACUGCAACUCUUUCAUUCAUAUAUAUAUUGUGUGUAAUGGAGGAGGAGAAGAUGAAGAUAGGUGUGGGAGCAAGUGCAGAUGAAUAUCAGUUUGGAUAAAGUUCAGACUUCCAUUUCCAUCAUUGUUCAUCAUCUUCCUCAAAACCCACCAGACAAUACAUUCGUGGCAGAAUCAAGAUUUGAAGAUAGGGAGAUGAGAUUCCAUUACGUGAUGUUUGGUUUGUGAAAUACAAAAGGAAUGAAAUAUCAUUUCGUAAAAUAUCUGCUUGAUGGUGCAAUUUUUAGAGUAAAGAAAUAGAAUUUCACGGAAUAGUUUAUUUCCUUUACAAUAGGAAGAGCUAUAUAUUCCUGAUGUCUCCUUGGUAUUUGUUAUUCCUAGCCUGUUAGAAAUACCUAUUUUUUAUUAUUCAAAAAAUUCACUUAUAAACUCUUCAUACACAUGUAAUACACGAAUGGGAGAAAUCCAGUUCAUGAACAAUUAUUUUGUUCUUCAAUUUCUUUUUAAUUAGAA
Molecule: long non-coding RNA, 694 nt
Organism: Ipomoea nil (Japanese morning glory)
Lineage: Eukaryota; Viridiplantae; Streptophyta; Magnoliopsida; Solanales; Convolvulaceae
Exons: 2
Source: RefSeq, a predicted model, not a curated record